GUUUGCACUCAUCGGGGAAGGGUGAGAACCUUCGACUAAGGUUCGACUCGAGCGAAAGCGAGAGAACGUUUUCACAGGCAACGGCCCGAAGGGUGAGGAGCGCAGCGCUGAGUAAUCCUUCCCCCACCACCA
Molecule: small RNA, 132 nt
Filed under: Escherichia coli
Lineage: Bacteria; Pseudomonadati; Pseudomonadota; Gammaproteobacteria; Enterobacterales; Enterobacteriaceae
Also listed under: 1 other name
Description: RtT sRNA
Rfam family: RtT RNA
About the family: This family represents a bacterial cis-regulatory element known as RtT RNA. The exact function of RtT is unknown although it is thought that it may be involved in changing the cellular response in relation to amino acid starvation.
Source: RNAcentral